ACUUUUUCGUAUGGUAGGCCAACAUCAGUUUCGAUUACUAUAAAAUGACUGGCGGAAUGUAGCUUCGAUUUCGGUUGAAGUGUUAUAGCCUCUGGUAGAUGUGGUGAUUGGGACUGAGGAUUGCAACGAAUAUCCUUUGGGCUAUCCGUCUGAUCUCUGAAAGUUGCUCAGGUGCCGAAAGCGUGCUUACGGUCAUCUAAGUUGACGGUCAAUAGGUUAGAACGUGAUUACAUUUGUUAAGGAUGUUGGCGUAAUGGCUUUAAACGA
RNAcentral lists this ribosomal RNA (267 nucleotides) under Glomus sp. RNAcentral's name for it is "partial large subunit ribosomal RNA". Lineage: Eukaryota; Fungi; Glomeromycota; Glomeromycetes; Glomerales; Glomeraceae. The record is from RNAcentral.